GAUGAACGCUAGCUACAGGCCUAACACAUGCAAGUCGAGGAGCAUCGGGAGGGAAGCUUGCUUCCCUUGCCGGCGACCGGCGCACGGGUGAGUAACGCGUAUCGAACCUGCCCCAUACCCGGGGAUAGCCUUGCGAAAGUAAGAUUAAUACCCGAUGGUUUCCUUUUAUCUCCUGAUAGAGGGAAUAAAGAAUUUCGGUAUGGGAUGGCGAUGCGUCUGAUUAGCUUGUUGGCGGGGUAACGGCCCACCAAGGCAACGAUCAGUAGGGGUUCUGAGAGGAAGGUCCCCCACAUUGGAACUGAGACACGGUCCAAACUCCUACGGGAGGCAGCAGUGAGGAAUAUUGGUCAAAUGGGCGAGAGCCUGAACCAGCCAAGUAGCGUGCAGGAAGACGGGCCCCUAUGGGUUGUAAACUGCUUUUAUAGGGGAAUAAAGUGAGCCACGUGUGGUUUUUUGCAUGUACCCUAUGAAUAAGGACCGGCUAAUUCCGUGCCAG
RNAcentral lists this ribosomal RNA (496 nucleotides) under uncultured bacterium. RNAcentral's name for it is "bacterial SSU rRNA". It matches the Rfam family "Bacterial small subunit ribosomal RNA", at positions 28 to 511 of the family's 1533-position model. The record is from RNAcentral.